GAUGAACGCUGGCGGCGUGCCUAAUACAUGCAAGUCGAGCGAACAGACGAGGAGCUUGCUCCUUUGACGUUAGCGGCGGACGGGUGAGUAACACGUAGGUAACCUACCUAUAAGACUGGGAUAACUUCGGGAAACCGGAGCUAAUACCGGAUAAUAUUUCGAACCGCAUGGUUCGAUAGUGAAAGAUGGCUUUGCUAUCACUUAUAGAUGGACCUGCGCCGUAUUAGCUAGUUGGUAAGGUAACGGCUUACCAAGGCAACGAUACGUAGCCGACCUGAGAGGGUGAUCGGCCACACUGGAACUGAGACACGGUCCACACUCCUACGGGAGGCAGCAGUAGGGAAUCUUCCGCAAUGGGCGAAAGCCUGACGGAGCAACGCCGCGUGAGUAAUGAAGGUCUUCGGAUCGUAAAACUCUGUUAUUAGGGAAGAACAAACGUGUAAGUAACUGUGCACGUCUUGACGGUGCCUAAUCAGAAAGCCACGGCUAACUACGUG
RNAcentral lists this ribosomal RNA (497 nucleotides) under uncultured bacterium. RNAcentral's name for it is "partial 16S ribosomal RNA". It matches the Rfam family "Bacterial small subunit ribosomal RNA", at positions 28 to 507 of the family's 1533-position model. The record is from RNAcentral.